Molecule: ribosomal RNA, 701 nt
Filed under: uncultured bacterium
Lineage: Bacteria
Description: bacterial SSU rRNA
Rfam family: Bacterial small subunit ribosomal RNA
Source: RNAcentral
GAUGACGAGUGGCGAACGGGUGCGUAACGCGUAUACAACCUACCUCUUAUUAAGGAAUAGCUCAGAGAAAUUUGAAUUAAUACCUUAUAAUAUCAUAAAGUCGCAUGGCUUAAUGAUUAAAGAACUUCGAUAAGAGAUGGGUAUGCGUGAUAUUAGCUAGUUGGUAAGGUAACGGCUUACCAAGGCAACGAUAUCUAGGGGGUCUGAGAGGAUGAUCCCCCACACUGGUACUGAGACACGGACCAGACUCCUACGGGAGGCAGCAGUGAGGAAUAUUGGACAAUGGACGAAAGUCUGAUCCAGCCAUGCCGCGUGAAGGAUGAAUGCCCUAUGGGUUGUAAACUUCUUUUAUAUAGGAAGAAACCUCUGGAUUUAUCCAGAGCUGACAUUACUAUACGAAUAAGCAUCGGCUAACUCCGUGCCAGCAGCCGCGGUAAUACGGAGGAUGCAAGCGUUAUCCGGAUUUAUUGGGUUUAAAGGGUCCGUAGGCGGAAUUUUAAGUCAGUGGUGAAAGCCUGCAGCUCAACUGUAGAACUGCCAUUGAUACUGAAAUUCUUGAAUAUAUAUGAAGUGGGCGGAAUGCGUCAUGUAGCGGUGAAAUGCACAGAUAUGACGCAGAACACCAAUUGCGAAGGCAGCUCACUAAUGUAUUAUUGACGCUGAGGGACGAAAGCAUGGGGAGCGAACAGGAUUAGAUACCA